ACCUGCUGAGUUUAAGCAUAUAAAUAAGCGGAGGAGAAGAAACUUACAAGGAUUCCCCUAGUAACGGCGAGCGAACCGGGA
Molecule: non-coding RNA, 81 nt
Organism: Triticum aestivum (bread wheat)
Lineage: Eukaryota; Viridiplantae; Streptophyta; Magnoliopsida; Poales; Poaceae
Source: Rfam